RNAcentral lists this long non-coding RNA (653 nucleotides) under Monodelphis domestica (gray short-tailed opossum). RNAcentral's name for it is "lncRNA (ENSMODG00000031284.2)". Lineage: Eukaryota; Metazoa; Chordata; Mammalia; Didelphimorphia; Didelphidae. The record is from RNAcentral.
AUGGAAAAAGCAAGGUGUUAUUUAAACUGUUUGGUAAAACAACAGAGACAACACUGUGAUGUCACCAGUUCCCAUGGAUUUAAUUACCAUCUCUAUGCUGAUGAUUCUCAGGUCUACCUUUCCUGCCCCAAUCUCUCUGCUGACUCCAACUUGAAUCUCCAUCUGCCUUUCAGACAUCUCAAACUGGAGGCUCUUGUCCCGGAGAGGUGGCUCUGGCUUAUCACUUCCUGUGAGCAGGCCUGUGCAACAGUUCAAUCCUGGAACUCAAGCCUGGAGGAACUCCCUCAGACAGCAUCCUUGAGAUGGUCUUGUGCCAAUAUGUUCAUGCCUCCUACUGAAAGACCAUCCUUGCUAUGGAUGAAACCAGCAACUGUAAAGAAGUCUUCACUGAAGAAAGUAAGGGGUCAAUCACAGUUUCCAAAUUGUCCAAAUUGUCUAGCACUGCCCCUGGGGCAGUGUCUUUGGGAUUCACACGUCUCAUCCUCUAAAGGUGUCAACUCUUAUCAAAGGCCUCUGACAGUGUCAACUCUGAUCAUAGGAUUCACAAGUUUGGGAUCCAUACAUCUCAUCCUCUUAAGAUAUAAACUCUUAUCAAAAAAUUCACAAGUUUCUGACUGAGUUAUGUAAUAUUUAAUGGGAAAAUGUGUUUGAAG